CGUGCAGGUGGUUUGGUAAGUUGGGUAUGAAAUCUCCUGGCUUAACUAGGAGAGGUUGCUCAAAACUCCCAGACUAGAGGACGAUAGAGGAAGGUGGAAUUCCCGGUGUAGUAGUGAAAUGCGUAGAUAUCGGGAGGAACACCAGUGGCGAAGGCGGCCUUCUGGGUCGUUCCUGACACUAAGACGCGAAAGCAUGGGUAGCAAACAGGAUUAGAUACCCUGGUAGUCC
RNAcentral lists this ribosomal RNA (229 nucleotides) under uncultured bacterium. Its description in RNAcentral is "partial 16S ribosomal RNA". It matches the Rfam family "Bacterial small subunit ribosomal RNA", at positions 568 to 796 of the family's 1533-position model. The record is from RNAcentral.